UACGUAGGUCCCGAGCGUUGUCCGGAUUUAUUGGACGUAAAGCGAGCGCAGGUGGUUUAUUAAGUCUGGUGUAAAAGGCAGUGGCUCAACCACUGUAUGCAUUGGAAACUGGUAGACUUGAGUGCAGGAGAGGAGAGUGGAAUUCCAUGUGUAGCGGUGAAAUGCGUAGAUAUAUGGAGGAACACCGGUGGCGAAAGCGGCUCUCUGGCCUGUAACUGACACUGAGGCUCGAAAGCGUGGGGAGCAAACAGG
This 252-nucleotide ribosomal RNA is filed under the name uncultured bacterium. RNAcentral's name for it is "partial 16S ribosomal RNA". It matches the Rfam family "Bacterial small subunit ribosomal RNA", at positions 524 to 776 of the family's 1533-position model. The record is from RNAcentral.